Molecule: ribosomal RNA, 384 nt
Filed under: Plestiodon fasciatus
Lineage: Eukaryota; Metazoa; Chordata; Lepidosauria; Squamata; Scincidae
Description: partial 12S rRNA
Rfam family: Bacterial small subunit ribosomal RNA
Source: RNAcentral
GCUUGGCCAUAAACUAAGGUAACACAAACACACCACUACCCGCCAGAGAACUACAAGUGAAAAACUUAAAACUCCAAGGACUUGGCGGUGCCCCACAUCAACCUAGAGGAGCCUGUCCUAUAAUCGAUAAUCCACGCUCCACCCAACCAUCUUUCGCCAUCAGCCUAUAUACCGCCGUCGUCAACCCACCCUAUGAAAGGAGCACAGUGGGUAAAAUAGUUAUUAACUAACACGUCAGGUCAAGGUGUAGCACAUGAGAUGGAAGAGAUGGGCUACAUUUUCUAUUGCAGAAAACACGAACAGCUCAAUGAAACUUGGGCUAAAAGGCGGAUUUAGAAGUCAGAUAAACCAACAUUUUUAUCUUAACCUCGCUCUGGGGCGCGC